This is a long non-coding RNA of Herpailurus yagouaroundi (jaguarundi), 1330 nucleotides long. RefSeq lists it as uncharacterized. NCBI's taxonomy places the organism in Eukaryota, Metazoa, Chordata, Mammalia, Carnivora, Felidae. The record is from RefSeq and is a predicted model, not a curated record. The transcript is spliced from 2 exons.
AGGGACGUGCCCCGGCCGGCGAGAGCCUACACACAGCCCCCGAGAGCGAGCAGGCGGACUGCGCGCCCCGCAAUUCUCGGGGAAGGAAGUAAGGAAACUGCUACUCGUGCUCUGCGUGCAUCCCGCGGAGGCUCCUGCGAGGUCCUAGAGCGGGCUGUGUGCUCAAGCCCUCUCCUGGCGACGCCUGCCCUGACAACUUCUAAAUGGCCAGCCCGCCCCUGGGGAAAAGCAGAGGAAUCCUCUUUGGACUCUUGCACCUCAAAGGAAUGGCUAAGAUCAUCCACGGAGAAUGCCAAGUGAAAAGACCACUGAAAGAAACCAGGGGACAAUAACAUUCAAGGCACAGGCAGACGAAAAGAUGCUUCAGAAGAAAACUGAGGAGAAGCUGCUCUAAAGGAAAGAGAAGACAGAAGAGGUAGGCACCACAGCAAUCACUGAGAAGAAUCCCCAAAACAAGUAGCAGUCAAACGCCAGAUCCAUCACAGGACAAGCAAGGUAAUUUAAGGGUAUCCUCUGACUUAGCAGUAAGGAGAUGGCAAGAAUGGUUUCAGUGGGCUAGUUGAAGAAUAAAGAAGUAGAAACAAAGUAUCACAUUUUCUAAAAUAGAAUUGGAAAGGCGUGUAGGGAGACCAGCUAUAAGGGAGUAGAGAAUGCAAAAGAAGAGAGGAGCUGUUUCUGAAGCAGGAUGGAAGGAGACAGAUGCCAAGGAAAGGAAAGAAAAAAGAGACUGGGGGAGGGAGUGGCAGGGAACUGACAGCAUAGACAGCCGCUGCCUCAUGUUUAACAAAGAAUUUUGCUCAGAGCAGAGGGAGAGGAGGAAAGUGAAGACAAGAGAGAGGUGAAAGCCUGAAAAGUACAAACAUUAAGAAAUGACUGAAGGACUUUGAGCAGUCCAGGAAACUGAUGAAGAGGAGACCUUGACUUUAUAAAGCUCUAAGCCCACAGGAGGGCAUGGUUUCUCUCCAAAGAUUAUCAGCAUCUCAUCCAAAGUAGCAAUACCUUCCAGUUGGUUCCAAUAGAAGGUCCAAAUCUCUCCAUUACACCACAAACUGAGUAUCACUAUCCUAAUCAUACAUCUGGAUUCUAGCUCUUUAGCAGUCAACUCAGGAGACUUACCAUGGGACCACAGAAUAUUUUAUAAGUGAGCUUAAGCUAGUUUUAAAUAGGCAAGUUCCUACCUUGGAAAACCUGGUUUGACUAAUAUCAAAGGGAGCUCCAUAAUACACAGAACAAGAAGGAGACCAACGACAGCACUGUGUGACAUUUUAGCCACUUGUGAUACCACUCUCUGGGUAAGGAAAACUAUAGAAACAAUAACUCAUGAAGCCAA